This 536-nucleotide ribosomal RNA is filed under the name Haliotis tuberculata (green ormer). RNAcentral's name for it is "partial 16S ribosomal RNA". It matches the Rfam family "Bacterial large subunit ribosomal RNA", at positions 1819 to 2600 of the family's 2925-position model. The record is from RNAcentral. Lineage: Eukaryota; Metazoa; Mollusca; Gastropoda; Lepetellida; Haliotidae.
GGCUCCUUGAUUUAAUAAAUAGAUAAGGAGUCGGACCUGCCCGGUGACCUACGGGUUAAACGGCCGCGGUACACUGACCGUGCAAAGGUAGCACAAUCACUUGCCUUUUAAUUGGAGGCUGGUAUGAAUGGUUUGACGAGGGCUGAGCUGUCUCUUUUAGAAUAUUUAAAAAUUAACUUCUAGGUGAAAAGGCCUAGAUUAAACUGAGGGACGAGAAGACCCUGUUGAGCUUUAGUGUGGAGUAAAAGCCUGUAUUUCUAGUUUUGUAGAGGGUCAAGAUUUAUUUUUACAUCUUUAGUUGGGGUGACUGGGGAACAUAAGUAGCUUCUCUGUUAAUUUAUUUAGUUAAGUUUGGCUAACCGGCUGAUGAUCCAGCAAUGUUGAUUAUCGGAAAAAGUUACCACAGGGAUAACAGCGUAAUCUUUCUGGAGAGUUCACAUUGAAAGAAGGGUUUGCGACCUCGAUGUUGGAUUAAGGUGUCCUGAGGGUGUAGCAGCUUUCAUUGGGUUGGUCUGUUCGACCAUUAAAACCUUACA